CUCUCUCUCUCUCUCUCGCUCUCUCCACAUCGGUCUCUCUUUCCUCUCUAUCGCUCAGCUCUGGAAACGCCUCAAUUUUUCCAAUAGUCCGCUCGUUGCCAUUGGGUUUAAACCCUAAAUUUUGCUCAAAUUCCACGUCUCCCAGGAUCAGUUUCCAGCUCGGGAAAUGGUGGCCUGCAAUCUAAACUGUGAGUUGAAGAAAGCUUUGUCUCCUUCACCCUCUCUCUGCACUUGCUUGAAACCCUAACCUGCUCGUCUUAGAUGCGAAUUGCGUUAGAACUCGACGCCGGGGUGUUUGGAUGGGGCAGCUUGUUAGCUGUUUUUUUUUCUCUGGUGCUUUUAGGGGAUAUUUUGUGCUACCGAGGAGGCUGGUGAUGGGUUUGGAAAUUGGGUGCUCUUUUCUCGAUCUUGUGCUUAUGUGGU
RNAcentral lists this long non-coding RNA (423 nucleotides) under Linum usitatissimum (flax). RNAcentral's name for it is "long non-coding RNA (LUSI_LNC001568)". Lineage: Eukaryota; Viridiplantae; Streptophyta; Magnoliopsida; Malpighiales; Linaceae. The record is from RNAcentral.